CAGAGAGACACACCUCUUGCUUGUUCAGGUUCCAGAUUCUGAAUUCGACCUUCUCUUAACUCCGCAGAAUGCAGUUGAGAUGCAUAGAAAAAGUCUGGGACUACUUACACCUAUUUGCUAGCAUGUCUUUGAAGAAUGUUACUAGAGAGAAGCAGGUACAACCUUGUGAUUAUUAUGCUUUGAACUUGAUGCUGUGCUGAACACAUAAAAAGAGCCCUCAUGAUGAGAGAUUGGAAGGAGAAUGAAAGAAAGGAAGCAAGAUCAUCCAGAGAACCAUGAAGUAGUGACCUUCAGUGACCUUCAGUGAUGAGGUCUGGCAUUCAUCAGCAUUCACACAUCUGCAGAAGGGGUAUGAGGGAGAAAUGACUUCAUUAAUUAUUGUGUCACCAAGUUUUUCUUCUCUUGAUUCCUAAGAAGAAGAAACAGAGAUUACAUGUGUUUACUUAAGGGUAAGCACUAACUGAAUGCUUACUGAGUGGCUAGAUGAAUAUCUAAAAAAAAAAAUGGUUUCUGUAGGCGUUGGAUUCUGCUCAAUGCUUAUGCCCACCCAGAAUGCUCUAUAAAACCUUCACUGUUGUUCUCAGGAUCAGCCUUCCUGAAUUCAUCCUAUAAACUUUUAAUGAGUGACCUGUUUGUAAAACUCCCUUCCAGAUUGGCAAAUACAAGUUGAUAGAGAA
This 677-nucleotide long non-coding RNA is filed under the name Homo sapiens (human). RNAcentral's name for it is "HSALNT0374266". Lineage: Eukaryota; Metazoa; Chordata; Mammalia; Primates; Hominidae. The record is from RNAcentral.